RNAcentral lists this long non-coding RNA (415 nucleotides) under Nicotiana tabacum (common tobacco). RNAcentral's name for it is "long non-coding RNA (NTAB_LNC012973)". The record is from RNAcentral. Lineage: Eukaryota; Viridiplantae; Streptophyta; Magnoliopsida; Solanales; Solanaceae.
AUGAGAAAGUUCAGUUUAGGGUUUAAAACCCUAAUGCUGACUAAGAGGAAAAAGUUCACCUAAUGCUGACUAAAGGAAAAGUUCAGUUUAGGGUUUAAAACCCUAAUGCUGACUGAAUGGAAAAAAGUUCAGUUUAGGGUUUAAAACCCUAAUGCUGACUGAAGGAAAAAGUUCAGUUUAGGGUUUAAAACCCUAAUGCUGACUAAAGAAAAAAGUUCAGUUUAGGGUUUAAAACCCUAAUGCUGACUGAAUGGACAAGAGUUCAGUUUAGGGUUUAAAACCCUAAUGCUGACUGAAGGAAAGAGUUCAGUUUAGGGUUUAAAACCCUAAUGCUGACUAAAGGGAAGGUUCAGUCUAGGGUUUAAAACCCUAAUCUUGAUUAAAGGGAAAAGUUCAUUUUUAGGGUUUAAAACCC